This 1313-nucleotide long non-coding RNA is filed under the name Homo sapiens (human). RNAcentral's name for it is "non-protein coding GABRG3-AS1:3". The record is from RNAcentral. Lineage: Eukaryota; Metazoa; Chordata; Mammalia; Primates; Hominidae.
AGGCAUCUCUUGUCUUCUUCCAGAAACCAUGACACUAUGGCAGGCCAACUUACUAGCUUUCAAGUAAGGUAACAUCUCAGACCAUCAUAGGUUUUGACAGGGGAAACUCUGAAGGACCACAGGAGUUGGAGGUUCCACGUAUCUCUAAGUAGUAACAUACGAUGGGUCCAAAACAGAAGAAAGAGAACUCAAGAUUCCCGAGCCACAGAGCUGUUGAUUGGAGGCUGACUCAGAGAAACCCUGGAUUCAGUGACAUACAGAGACAACAGGUACAGGAUCAGUAUGGGUUUUAAUUGAGGGGCUCGGCACCAAAUGACAGACUUGACACAUCCACCCCCACCAUGGAUGCUGUCCGUCCACUGUUGCACAAUGUCCUUCAGUGUCUAAUUUACAGAUCCAGCUGUAUUUCCCCUUCCACCUGCAUCCCUGAAGUUCCUCCCACCUGAAAACUUCACCUGACCCAAGAAAGCAAAGGAAAAAACCCGGAGAGCCAGCUCAUAGUCUGGUUCACUGUUUAACAGCCAGAAGCCAGAGCCUGCGUACUAGAAGUGGAUGCCCAGGAAGUACUUGUGAGCUGACUAAGAAUGUAAGAACGCCACCCACUUCAUUCAGGAAAGUGAGGCAGGAUUCCAUGGAGUAUGAAUGACUGCACAUGGAACAAGCAGGUUAUCAUUUAUAUUCAGCAAGGGACCUCCAUGAACAGGACAUUUGGGGAGCUGCUAUCAAACAUCAGAACUUCUGACACUGUGCACACAGUCUUAUAUUGUGCCUUGUCUGUUGUGAUGUCUCACUACAGUAAUGAUUAAGAUGAUGAGCACUUAUGCGUUGAUAUUGCAAUAUGUCUGCGUAAGAACUAUCGCUAAGGCAGGUUAUAUUAUUACCCUCAGUGUAUAGGUAAGGAGGUUAGACUGAUAACUUACCCAGUGUCACAUAGGUAGUAAUGGCCAAACUAGAGUUGGAACCUGUCUGCCUACUCUCCAAGCUCAGGAUUGACUUGAGCACAAGGGUAAGUAUCUCACAUGCUUUGUAAAGUUCAGGUUGAUAACAAAAUAUGUGAAAGGCAGGGGUAUAGACAACAGGGGGCAUAUGAAAUACGGGAAGGGCCUAAAGAAAUUCAAGUCUAUUAUUUUUAAUCCACUGCUGUCAAAUGACAAAUGAUUACUGGCUUUUCUUCAGCUUAUGAUUCCUGUAUUUGAAUCCUGAAAAACUUACAUUUCAUAUAUUACCAACUAUUAUGGGGAAAACUAUCACAUGGGAAUAAAACUCCAGUGCCCUAAGGAUUUGUUUAACGCUAGAUAAAUCUUAUGAGUUUG